AUAGGUCAAAGGUGUAAGUGCAGCAAUGCAUGUAGCUUAUUGAUACUAAUAGAUCGAGGACUUGACCAA
RNAcentral lists this ribosomal RNA (69 nucleotides) under Paraclostridium sordellii. RNAcentral's name for it is "partial 23S ribosomal RNA". The record is from RNAcentral. Lineage: Bacteria; Bacillati; Bacillota; Clostridia; Peptostreptococcales; Peptostreptococcaceae.